CAGUCGCCGCGGGAAUACGAAGGGUGCAAGCGUUAAUCGGAAUUACUGGGCGUAAAGCGUGCGCAGGCGGUUUGUUAAGACAGAUGUGAAAUCCCCGGGCUCAACCUGGGAACUGCAUUUGUGACUGGCAAGCUAGAGUGCGGCAGAGGGGGGUGGAAUUCCGCGUGUAGCAGUGAAAUGCGUAGAUAUGCGGAGGAACACCGAUGGCGAAGGCAGCCCCCUGGGCCAACACUGACGCUCAUGCACGAAAGCGUGGGGAGCAAACAGGAUUAGAUACCCCGGUAGUCCCUGUCUCUUAUAC
Molecule: ribosomal RNA, 301 nt
Filed under: uncultured bacterium
Lineage: Bacteria
Description: partial 16S ribosomal RNA
Rfam family: Bacterial small subunit ribosomal RNA
Source: RNAcentral